AUUGAACGCUAGCGGGAUGCUUAACACAUGCAAGUCGAACGGCAGCGCGGACUUCGGUCUGGCGGCGAGUGGCGAACGGGUGAGUAAUGUAUCGGAAUGUGCCCAGUAGCGGGGGAUAACUACGCGAAAGCGUAGCUAAUACUGCAGACGACCUACGGGGGAAAGCAGAGGAGCGUAAGAACUUGCACGAUUGGAGCGGCUGAUUUCGGAUUAGCUAGUUGGUGAGGUAACGGCUCACCAAGGAGGGGAUCCGUAGCUGGGUUGAGAGGACGACCAGCCACACUGGGACGGAGACGCGGCCCAGACGCCUGCGGGAGGCAGCAGUGGGGAAUUUUGGACAAUGGGGGCAACCCUGAUCCAGCCGUCCCGCGUGUGCUAUGAAGGCCUUCGGGUUGUAAAGCACUUUUGGCAGGAAAGAAACGUCGCGGGCUAAUACCCCGUGGAACUGACGGUACCUGCAGAAUAAGCACCGGCUAACUACGUG
Molecule: ribosomal RNA, 484 nt
Filed under: uncultured bacterium
Lineage: Bacteria
Description: partial 16S ribosomal RNA
Rfam family: Bacterial small subunit ribosomal RNA
Source: RNAcentral